UUCCGGUUGAUCCUGCCGGACCUGACUGCUAUCGGAUUGAUACUAAGCCAUGCGAGUCAUUGUAGCAAUACAAGGCAGACGGCUCAGUAACGCGUAGUCAACCUAACCUAUGGACGGGAAUAACCUCGGGAAACUGAGAAUAAUGCCCGAUAGAACACUAUACCUGGAAUGGUUUGUGUUCCAAAUGAUUUAUCGCCGUAGGAUGGGACUGCGGCCUAUCAGUUUGUUGGUGAGGUAAUGGCCCACCAAGACUAUUACAGGUACGGGCUCUGAGAGGAGUAGCCCGGAGAUGGGUACUGAGACACGGACCCAGGCCCUAUGGGGCGCAGCAGGCGAGAAAACUUUGCAAUGUGCGAAAGCACGACAAGGUUAAUCCGAGUGAUUUGUGCUAAACGAAUCUUUUGUUAGUCCUAGAAACACUAACGAAUAAGGGGUGGGCAAGUUCUGGUGUCAGCCGCCGCGGUAAAACCAGCACCUCAAGUGGUCAGGAUGGUUAUUGGGCCUAAAGCAUCCGUAGCCGGCUCUGUAAGUUUUCGGUUAAAUCUGUACGCUUAACGUACAGGCUGCCGGGAAUACUGCAGAGCUAGGGAGUGGGAGAGGUAGACGGUACUCGGUAGGAAGGGGUAAAAUCCUUUGAUCUAUUGAUGACCACCUGUGGCGAAGGCGGUCUACCAGAACACGUCCGACGGUGAGGGAUGAAAGCUGGGGGAGCAAACCGGAUUAGAUACCCGGGUAGUCCCAGCUGUAAACUAUGCAAACUCAGUGAUGCAUUGACUUGUGGUCAAUGCAGUGCUGCAGGGAAGCCGUUAAGUUUGCCGCCUGGGAAGUACGUACGCAAGUAUGAAACUUAAAGGAAUUGGCGGGGGAGCACCACAAGGGGUGAAGCCUGCGGUUCAAUUGGAGUCAACGCCGGG
This 914-nucleotide ribosomal RNA is filed under the name uncultured archaeon. RNAcentral describes it as "bacterial SSU rRNA". It matches the Rfam family "Archaeal small subunit ribosomal RNA", at positions 1 to 922 of the family's 1478-position model. The record is from RNAcentral.